AGGCUAUGAUAUGAGAAAAGUCACAGCUUUUCAGUUCUCCCAGACCCUCAGACAGGUGUGUCUACCCAGCCGCUGAAGCGUCAAUGCUCACUCCGGUGCUCACUGGUCUUUAACAGAGCGUGAAGGCUGGGCAGCAGACACAGGGUCUUAGUAGACAUGACUUUGGGGCUCCCCCUAGCCUGCAGAUUCUACUUUUUCUAGACCCCACCUCCUGCCCCCCAAUAUAUACAGAGCAUGCCCACAGCACAUGGGACCCUGGGAGCAUCUGGGACAGAGAAGGCAGAGCCUUCCAAGGUGCGAGGCUCCAUGGUCCACACCUGGUUCAGCUCCUAGUGUCUGCUCUCCUCUGGGGUCCUCGCCAGCCUCCCAGCCUCUCACUUGCAAGGAGCCCAGCAGCGACUGUGAAUACAGGCUGGAGGAGCAGACGCAGGCCACUGCCUUGCAGCCGCUGCAAUAUUUAUAGUCACAGUUACCUUCUGUUUCUGUCAAGAGACAUCAGGCUUUAUUUACAGCACGGAUGUGGCCUUUCCUGAACACACGGACUCUUUUACUCUAACAAAUAGAAAAGUGAGUUAUUUCUAGAAUAGCAGCAAGAACAUGGCCCAAGAUGCUAACGACUAAGAGGAGUGACCCAACAGGGAGCCACAUGACAAAAGGACUUCAGAGCCCCUGUGUUGCCUAACUCUGUCUGACAUGAGGGCACAGCUGGUGUCUUUGUGGGCUGUUGAGAGAUUCCAGGUUCGUCUUUCCCCAGCAAUGAUACAAGAGGUCUAAUGUCAUGGUACCUGAGGCUACCUCAGGGUCCAGCACCAGUUCAAAUUCAAGCACCUGGGACCUGGGUCAGGGAACAGGAUGGGGAGCAAGCUAACCAGGUCUUCCCUCAUCUCCCCAUCCCACGCCCUCGGAUCUGAGGGGAAGACUUGGGGAUGGGCCCCAUCCCCACAUCUGGAGCUCGUUAUAUUGGGGCUGGAGAGGCGCAGGAUACAAAUGGGUCCGGCAAGGGUUUAGAUAAAUACGGGAUGAUAGAUCCGCACCAGGCUACGGAGGGGAAGUGCGGGAUGUUCCCGGAAGACGCUUAACCUUGUCAAGCUCCCCGACAAACUGUCCCCAGGGGGCGUCUACUCAGCAGCUCAUCUUCUGCUCCUGCCCCACGCAAAGCAGUCCCAAGUGCAGCCUGGGGGUGGAGACACCCCCCAAUCUCAGGACUUCCAGCCUCCUUCUGAGGCCAGGCCUGAGCCUGAGCCUGAGCCUGGAACACACUCCACCCCCUUUCUACACUACUCCAGGAAGCCCUCCCUGACCACCCAGGCUGGCACAGGGUCUGAGGGUAACUCACUUGCCAAAGCCACUCAGAGGGCCAGCAGAGCCUAGCAGGGGGCAGCUGUGUAGUGACCAUAUGGUCAAGUGCCCAGCACGGUGCUGUGCAUACUCAGCAACCUUACGGAAGGCGCCAUUUGACAGGAGAGCAAUCCAGGGCAAAGAGGGGACACAUGGGGCAUAAUGAGCAGCCAGGGUCCAGUGUCCAUAUACGUUUGGUAGAAUUCCUGACCAGGGCUCAUUUUAGUAGAAGCCAGGUCUCCCAGGCGUCUCUGCCAUUGAACCUCCUAAGUGACCUGCCAUCCUGGGACCCUCAUGGAACAGAAGGGCACGCUGGCAGCUUCCAUGAUACUGAAAUGGUCACUGUGGCAAGGUGACUCAGAGAGAAAGUCAUGUAAAGGCACAGCCUAUCCUCUGUGAGGCAGACUCCCUUGGCGUCCUAUAUCCUUCCAGGUCAAGGGAACAUAGGGAUAGCUAACUUGGAGGGGCAGCCAUCCUGAGGAGGGUGUGAGUCUGGGUAAGCUCACAUUUCCCAAGGCCAUGGCCACAAAAGCUCCUGGGAUAGCAUAGUGGUGGGUGUGAGGAGCUGGUUCAAGCCAGAGCUCCUGGCUCCCUCCAUGGAAGGCAGGCCUCGGGAGAAAAGGUGACACAGAGGCAGCAGGGGACUCAGCAGUGAUGACUACCACCUCCUGUCUACGCCACGCCAGGAGCAGGUGCGAUUAGGAUCCUGUUAGCAGGACACUCCUGGGCAGGUGAGCACACUCCACACUCCUGGCAGCUGCCUUAGCUCAGAGCACAGGAAGCAGACAGCGUGGGUGGUAGGCGAAGGCCGCUCCCAGCUGCCCGGGGCCACUCACAGUGCUGUGCAAUCUUUGUCAGGUCCCUUUCCCUCUCUGGGCUCCAAAUGUCCUUUUCAACCAAUGGGAGGCUCAGGCUGGCUAGCAUUCUUCCAAAUUCAGUGGUUGCUAUGAGGCUUCCGGCCAUAUCUGCCAUCACACGAACUAGGCUAUAACCUCACAUUGAGUCACCUAUUUUUACCGAAAUAAAUUCAUUAGUAAAGGGAAAAUCAGGUUAGUAGCGUAACCAGAAAGCACUAAUCCUUCUAACCUGAGGGAGUUUGGGUUCCGAAGACGGCUGCCUUGGCUUAUGAUCUGACACAGAGCUAUGCAACCCCAGGUGACUUACUGUGGCUCUCUCUGUGCCUCGGCUUGCUCAUGUGACAGUUAAAGCUAUAAGGAAGUCCAAAUGUAAAGUCUAUGUGUGAGUCUGUCUGCUGGUCGAUGAGUGUGUGUGCAUGUCUACCUGUCUAUGGUUAUGUGUGAGUGUGUAAUGUGUCUGUUUUGUGGUGUGAAUGUCUGCCUCUGUGUGUGGUGUGUCUGUGAGUGUGUGUGUGUGUGUGUGUGUGUGUGUGUGUAAGUGGUGUGGUGUAUGUAUGUUUUGUAGGGUGUGUGUCUGUCUGUGUGAGCAGUGUGUCUGUCUGUUUGUGAGUGUGUAUGUGUGUGUUUGCAUUAAAAAUGCAUUCUCUGAACUGUGUACAACCCACCGACAAGAUAUCCUGGCAUUCUGGCUCCCCAGUGGGGUCUGUGCAGCAGGUCUGAGCUGGAGACUAGCUUUCUCCAAUGAAAAGCAGAUUAGGAGCUGUCAGAGAGGUGGUAGAGACGAGUUGGCAGGAAACAGACUUUCUCCAUUUGGCACAGAGAGGUGAAGCAACCUGGUCAAAUGUGCACAGCUCCUCAGUGACAGCAAAGAGAACGCCCAACCCAUUGUCCUGUCCCUUAGCAGACUGGCUCAGCUUCUCGGCACAACCUGGCAUGACAGGUUCCCAAGCUCAUGCCACCCACCAGAGUAGGUAAACAAGUCUCUUCCAGGUGAGGAGACACUCAUGAAGCCCCCUCCCCCCUAUCUCCCCCCAGAGCUGACAGAGACCUGGAUGACUGGGGGUCUGGCAAUGCCAGCUCACAGCCACAUGCCACACCACAGGAUCUGUCCCGCUCCUCUGGGUGGGUGAGUCAUGGGGGUCCUGCCACCUAGCCCAGGCUGUGUACGCCAUUAACACCUCAGCUUGGAGGGUCACAGACUGUCUGGAUUUGCCCUGUGAAUUGACAGAGCGUGGCUGAUCACCAGACCCGCCCAGAAGCCACGUCCCUACCUGGAACACCACCAAGGACUAAGUGAUCUAAUCCAGGAGGUCUGGACUUGGAAAGGCUUCCCAAUGGCCUGAGAGGCUAGACACAGUGGGUGGUCGCUCCAGGACACUUGGCUUUGCAUUGCAAAGGCCAACCCACCCCCACCUCUCACUCCCACCCCUGCAAAAAGCCAGGCUGGCUUUGGGAUGCUCCGGAGCCAAGCCACCCAGGACUCCACCACACCCGUCCCCUCUGCCUCAAUCAGGCAUCCUCUAUCCUUUGAGCCAUCAGAAGGAACAAGCGCUCUUGCCAGGCCUCCAUCAGUGUCUCUCCCAACCACAGUGUGUGUGUCAUCCCCACCCUGUGAGCCAAUUCAGCUCCUGCCUCAGGAUCCUAUCCUGACCCUCCUCUUCCAGGAAGCCUUCCCUGCCCUUCCCCACUAAACUCACCAUUCAUCGUGCAGCUAUCCCAAAUCUGUCGUGAUCCUGUGACCUGCCUCUAGGCUCUGGGGGGCCACAAGGGCUCUCGGCCCUUGGCGACGCACAGACCCAGUGCGCACAGUAAAGGCUAGAGUUUGG
Molecule: long non-coding RNA, 4021 nt
Organism: Mus musculus (house mouse)
Lineage: Eukaryota; Metazoa; Chordata; Mammalia; Rodentia; Muridae
Product: predicted gene, 52708
Exons: 3
Source: RefSeq, a predicted model, not a curated record